AUUGAACGCUGGCGGCAGGCCUAACACAUGCAAGUCGAGCGCGAAAGUCUUCGGAUGAGUAAAACGGCGGACGGGUGAGUAAUGCAUGGGAAUCUGCCUGGUAGUGGGGGACAACGUUUCGAAAGAGACGCUAAUACCGCAUACGCCCUACGGGGGAAAGGGGGGGAUCUUCGGACCUCUCGCUAUCAGAUGAGCCCAUGUCAGAUUAGCUAGUUGGUAGGGUAAAGGCCUACCAAGGCGACGAUCUGCAACUGGUCUGAGAGGAUGAUCAGUCACAAUGGAACGGAGAAACGGUCCAGACUCCUACGGGAGGAAGCAGUGGGGAAUAUUGGACAAUGGGGGCAACCCUGAUCCAGCCAUGCCGCGUGUGUGAAGAAGGCCCUAGGGUUGUAAAGCACUUUCAGUGGGGAGAAAGGUUGUUCAGUUAAUACCUGAAUGAAUUGAUGUUACCCACAGAAGAAGCACCGGCUAACUCCGUGCCAGCCGCCGCGGUAA
Molecule: ribosomal RNA, 495 nt
Filed under: uncultured bacterium
Lineage: Bacteria
Description: partial 16S ribosomal RNA
Rfam family: Bacterial small subunit ribosomal RNA
Source: RNAcentral